ACUGCCCAGUCCUGUCCACUGGGGGAUUUCCCUCACUGCAUGAACACGAGAAUGAAAUCUCUGUGGCUUUUCCUUUCCCUGUUCUCUGCCCCCUCCUGUGUCCUGUCCCAGGUGCAGCUGGUCCAGUCCGGCCCAGGGGCAGUGAAGCCGGGAGCGACCCUCAGCAUCACCUGUAAAGUCUCUGGAGUCUCUGUCAGUGAUCUCUAUUGGAGCUGGAACCGGCAGCCCCCAGGGAAAGGGCUGGAGUGGCUGGGGUUUAUCCGCAGCACUGCACAAGGAGGGACCACAGAGUAUAACUCGGCUCUCAAGCCUCGGGUCACCAUCACCAGGGACACCUCUAAAAACGAAGUUUAUCUCCAGCUCCGCUCGCUGACAGCUGCAGACACCGGCACCUAUUUCUGCGCCCGAGAGACACAGUGA
Non-coding RNA from Gopherus flavomarginatus (Mexican gopher tortoise), 420 nucleotides. NCBI's taxonomy places the organism in Eukaryota, Metazoa, Chordata, Testudines, Testudinidae. The record is from the annotation of a RefSeq genome assembly.